GUGGUUAGAGUGUAGAGGCGGCAGGUAGCCUAGUGGUUAGAGUGUAGAGGCGGCAGGUAGCCUAGUGGUUAGAGUGUAGAGGCGGCAGGUAGCCUAGUGGUUAGAGUGUAGAGGCGGCAGGUAGCCUAGUGGUUAGAGUGUGGAGGCGGCAGGUAGCCUAGUGGUUAGAGUGUAGAGGCGGCAGGUAGCCUAGUGGUUAGAGUGUAGAGGUGGCAGGUAGCCUAGUGGUUAGAGUGUAGAGGGGGCAGGUAGCCUAGUGGUUAGAGUGUAGAGGGGGCAGGUAGCCUAGUGGUUAGAGUGUAGAGGCGGCAGGUAGCCUAGUGGUUAGAGUGUAGAGGCGGCAGGUAGCCUAGUGGUUAGAGUGUAGAGGCAGCAGGUAGCCUAGUGGUUA
Oncorhynchus tshawytscha (Chinook salmon) is the source of this 391-nucleotide long non-coding RNA. The record is from Ensembl. Lineage: Eukaryota; Metazoa; Chordata; Actinopteri; Salmoniformes; Salmonidae.